CAAUAGCGUAUAUUUAAGUUGUUGCAGUUAAAAAGCUCGUAGUUGGAUUUCGGAUGGGAUUUGCCGGUCCGUCGUUGCGAUGUGCACUGGCCAAUCCUCUCUUGUUGUCGGGGACUAGCUCCUGGGCUUCACUGUCCGGGACUAGGAGCUGACGAGGUUACUUUGAGUAAAUUAGAGUGUUCAAAGCAAGCCUACGCUCUGAAUACAUUAGCAUGGAAUAACACGAUAGGACUCUGGCUUAUCUUGUUGGUCUGUGAGACCAGAGUAAUGAUUAAGAGGGACAGUCGGGGACAUUCGUAUUUCAUUGUCAGAGGUGAAAUUCUUGGAUUUAUGAAAGACGAACUUCUGCGAAAGCAUUUGGCAAGGAUGUUUUCAUUAA
This 379-nucleotide ribosomal RNA is filed under the name uncultured eukaryote. RNAcentral describes it as "partial 18S ribosomal RNA". It matches the Rfam family "Eukaryotic small subunit ribosomal RNA", at positions 592 to 976 of the family's 1831-position model. The record is from RNAcentral.